UACGAACUGUGCAAACGUUAUUCGGAUUCACUGGGCUUAAAGGGUGCGUAGGCGGCCAUGUAAGUAGGGUGUGAAAUCCCCCGGCUUAACCGGGGAACUGCGCCCUAAACUGUGUGGCUUGAGUGAGAUAGGGGUGUGUGGAACUUCCGGUGGAGCGGUGAAAUGUGUUGAUAUCGGAAGGAACGCCGGUGGCGAAGGCGGCAUCCUGGACCAACACUGACGCUGAUGAGCGAAAGCCAGGGGAGCAAACGGG
This 253-nucleotide ribosomal RNA is filed under the name uncultured bacterium. Its description in RNAcentral is "partial 16S ribosomal RNA". It matches the Rfam family "Bacterial small subunit ribosomal RNA", at positions 524 to 776 of the family's 1533-position model. The record is from RNAcentral.